Molecule: non-coding RNA, 5430 nt
Organism: Salmo salar (Atlantic salmon)
Lineage: Eukaryota; Metazoa; Chordata; Actinopteri; Salmoniformes; Salmonidae
Source: RefSeq, a predicted model, not a curated record
UUGUAAAAUGGCGCCCAGUGAAAUCGGAGUGGAAAAGAAAAGGGAAUGUAUUAAUAGAGACCGUGAGAAAUCCAGCUCUAAAAGAUCACAGAGACAAUUUCUGACUCCAAUGCACAAGAAUAACGCUUCUACGGGCGUGUCCAAACAGUCAAGUUGGUCGGUCUGGGAGAAGAAGGCAGGGAGGGGAGUUAGCUGCAGUUAACGUUACAGUAUCUGGAAUACUGAACUAACAAGUUAUUCUAUCAACCGUAUUAUCUAUUUUGUACUUUCAUUGACAUGCCAUCUUCUAUUUGCUCAAGAGCUGCACAUUAUUUUGUAGGCGGUUAACGUUAGUCAGCACCAGUAACCCACCUUUAACGCUACAGUAGUAACUUAACUAGCUAAUGCAAAUUUGUCAUUUGUUCAUUAUCAAUAAAUAUAUGAACAAUGGUUUAAUUCCGUUAAAUUUGAGGUCGUUUUGUCUGGUGUUCUCCCAAGUUGACCUACCUGCUCGAGCAAAGAAACAAGCAAGACAUUCCAGUCGAGCGCAUGCCCUAACUGUUAGUUGUUGUUCCGAGUGCUGGUGGUGAUUUAAUUCCCAUGACUAGAAAAACACCGAGCUUUUGAGGCAGCCGCUGAAUCCCGACCGCCCAGGCCAUCAAAUAUAACCCUUUAGCUUCUGAUGUCAAACGUUCCUGGAUUCAACCACUGACAAAGUCCCGAGGGGCGUUGAGUUUGCUACGUUGCAUGACGGUUUGUACUUAACAGUGCACACGGUUCUUCAACAGCCUUUGCGGUACGUUUGGUGGGCAUGGCGAGGUGUGACAAUUUAAAAUCGUGCAGCACGGUAAUAUCUUGCAUGUGCAUUUCCCUGUGGAUAUAUUUUUACAUCGACUCUUUUUGGAAUUAGCACAGCAAACAUCUACUUGGAAUAAUUUGUAUUAUUAGCUUUGCUGCAAGGACUUUUAUUUAAACGUUCCCUCCUUUGCAACAGACCAAAUGUUUUGCAACAGAGUUCGACUAAUGAAUACACCCCUGGUCGUAUAGUACCGUUUCCGUUUAAUUCAACGUUGCACACUGUUCUGUCAUACUGAAAGCAACACUUGCUGGACAGGAAUCUAGAUCCUACUAUCUUCAGUGAGUGGACUGCCACAAUAGUUAACAUUUUCCUCAGCAAAUAUUAUUGGUCUAAAACUUUAUUUUCCAUCCAAAACUGAAGCGUUUUCAUUUUUCUUGUGAACCAACAAAAUCUGGCUAGCUGUGUACCACAACCCCAUUUAUGUACAGCCAUUGUAACUUACGCCUUCAUGACAGUAAGUCAUUAACGGCAGGGUUAUGGUACAAUACUAAUUGACAUGCAUCUUGUUUGUCUCUGUCCACACAGACGCCCCUUCCCCAUCACCUUAGAGUAGCGAAUAGCAUGGAGGGCUCGUUUGAGGAGCUAGUGAGGCUGAAGGUCCGCAGUGUCCCCCAGCAUCGGAUGAAGGAGUUCCUGGAGUCCCUGACCAACAAGAACUCGAGGCACUGCAGGAGUUCAACCAGCAGGGCGGUGUUGCCACCACAACCACCACGGUUUACCAGCAAGGGGGGGGGGGUCAACUGCAUCUACACAGACAGCAACGAGGUGGCUAGGUCACUGCUGGAACUGUCCUGGCCGCAACAACAGGUACAGGUGUCCCAGCAGAAGGUGAUGUCAUGACAGCAGCAGCUCUCGCCCCAUAUGACCACAGCCAAUGCCGCAAGGCCAAGACAUAAUACAGGUCGGGGGGCAACAGCAGGACCAGGUGGUUGGGGGCCAGGUGCUGCAGCUGCCCUCAUCUUCCCAUCAACAGCUACAGGGGGUCACCACAGCCCAACUAUUACAGUCUGGGGACAUCACAGAGCAACUGUAACAACAGGCCCAGUUGGUGGCAGGUGGACAGCAGAUCCCAAUCCAGACAGUGGAAGCUCUCUCCCCCACGCAGCAGCAGUAUUCUCCCCAGGGGAGCAUCAUCCAGAUCACCUCCCUGCAGCCAGCCAAGAAGCGUAAGGUGGACAUGCCCAUCAGUGUCCUACGCCCUGCCUGGUCAGCAGCUGGCCACUGUACUAGCCACCCCCAGGGUCAGGGACAGCAGCAGAGCCACAUGUCUCUGAGGACAGACGUGUUGACUGUAGAUCGCAGCCACCGGUACAGCAUUACAGGUACCAUCACCAGCCCCACUGGAGAGACCUGGACCAUCCCUGUCUACUCUUCCCCGCCAGGGUCACGUGGUCAGUGUGGUGUUACACACAUUGCCAACCCCAGGAGGCAUACAGUGCCAUGCAGGUUGCCGGGGGAACUACAGUGUUAAUGGCACACACUACGUCAACGCAAGUUCCUAUUGGCUCGGGUCAUGCGGUUUCCACGCUGAUGGGGUGGUCGGGGGGGGGUCAUGAGGAGGUGUAGUACCAGACGGUGGCGGCCAGCUCUGUUUCCAGCCCAGUUCAUGAACAGGAACAUUCACACCGCGCAGUCACUCAUCUGGGACCCCCAGCAGCAGGUAUUGGACACACAGAGAGGGUUGCAGGUCCAGGACUCACAGCAACUACAGGUAACUUUACUAAGCCGUUAUAGAUUAGAAUUCUAAAAGCCCCAAACAUCUAAACUCAGCAAAAAAAGAAACGUCCCUUUUUCAGGACUCUGUCUUUGUAACGAUCGUCUGGAAGAGGGGACCAAGAUGCAGCGUGGGCAGUCACCAUGAUCCUAACAUUCUGCUCCCACACCAUCCUCCAGAAGUCAGCCAUGGUGCUGCGCAAAUGACCCUGGCUACAGAUUAAGUCUGGCUCUGUACAGCCCCCUGAAGAGCAGACAGCUGACUUGAUGAAUGGAUAUAUGGACAGACAGAUAAACAGACAGAGAGUACUUACAGGGACAUAACUAGCGUUGAUAUAGCUUCACUCAACAGUGGUAAUCUGAAAUCACAGAUCAAUGUGAUCAGAAAAUGGGAAGCAUUACCAAACAUGGGAGAGAUGUGAAGGUUGUGUUCAUGUGUUUAGAUACAGCAGGUUAUAUGGUCAUGGUAAUUACACUCCUAUUACUCAGGGGCAGCAUGUGGUGGUGCUAUGAUAUGGUGUGUGCUAUGAUACUCUCAAGGCAGUAUGUAGGGCUAUCUGUUCUCUCUGUUGGUCUUUCAGGUCUCCAGCCCUGGUAGUGAGUUCUUUACCAUCAUCCAGCUCCUGAAGAAUAAACAGCUAAUGGGACACUAUGAAACAGCCAAAGCAGACACUGCACAAAGACUCCAAAGCACAAUCAUCUACCGUAUGGUGUGAUGGCCUAGAUUAGUGAGUUUGGUUUACCUCAAACCGGAAACCACUGUUGCCCUUGGCAGCGAGUGAUUGAAAUCACAGGUGGAAUUCCUGUAGUAUAUGUGCCCGUGAAAGCACCCUUAUUCUAUGUGGCAAUAUGGCAACAGUCCUCAGCCAAUAAAAAAUGCCUUUUAAACAACUCUUUAAAUUGAGCUCCAAUUUUCCUCAAAGUGGUGUUUUUACAAGUGACUACACCCAUAAUGUUCUUAAUACCAUCAUUCCAUGCUUCUGGGUUGGACUUGAGAAAACAACAAUAGGCUAAAACACUUCACUCACAGCACUCAAUCAGUUACUGUAUAUAAACUACUGAAAGGUUACUUUUCUCUUCCAUAUUUUAGCAGAUGCUCUUAUCCAGAGCAAUUAGGGUUAAGUGCCUUGCACAAGGCACAGCAACAGAUUGUUCACCUAGUUGGCUCAGGGAUUCGAACCUUUCGGUUACUGGCCCAACGCUUUAACCGCUCAGCUACCUGCCACCCAUACCAUUUCACAAAGACUCAAGUUAUUAUAUCCACUCCUUCAGUGACAUUCAGAGUUCCUCACAUCAUGUUUGUUAGGGAUGCAGAGAUUAGGCAAAGCUUCCCCUGGUAACCAAGAACGGAAGUAUAGUGUAGAGGGGGCCAGGCUGGUGAGGUGUUGUUGGGUAGUUUUAAAAGAAAUGUGAUCAGAUGAUCACAAAGCCAAAUCCCCCACCCACCCCUGCUAGCUAAAGAGGAAUUUGGACACACAGUGGCUCUCACACACACACAAGGAUUUGAACACCAACCUAAGAACACUAUAAAAACCUGCACCAACAGGUCUACAACUCAAAACACAGGUAAAGCACAGAGUGAGCAAUCCCAGCCUAGUGUUCCUUAUGUUAGUAUUACCUUUGUAAGUGCUCCUUUGAGUGAGAAAGAGUUUAGAGAGCAACGGGGGCUCUUCCUGUCGAUGUGUUAUGUCCUGUCAAGUUGUCUGUCUCCAAUUAUCCAAGCCACCACAUUUUAUUCUCUCUCAAUUCAAUUCAAAGGGCUUUAUUGGCAUGGGAAACAUGUUUACAUUGCCAAAGCAAGUGAAUAGAUAAAUGAAAGUGAAAUAAACAAUCAAAAAUGAACAGUAAACAUUACACUCACAAAUGUUUCAGAGAAAUAGAGACAUUUCAAAUGUCAUAUUGUGGCUAUGUACAGUGUUAUAACGGUAGUUAAAGUACAAAAGAGAAAAUAAAUAAACAUAAAUAUGGGUUGUAUUUACAAUGGUGUUUGUUUUUCACUGGUUGCCCUUUUCUUGUGGCAACAGGUCACAAAUCAUGCUGCUGUGUUUUCACGUCAUGGUAUUUCAGCCAACAGAUAUGGGAGUUUAUCAAAACUGGAUUUGUUCAAAAAAAAUGUGGGUUUGUGUAAUCUGAGGGAAAAAUGUGUCUCUAAUAUGGGCAUACAUCUGGCAGGUUAGGACGUGCAGCUCACUUUGCACCUCCUUUUGUGGGCAGUGUGCACAUAGCCUGUCUUCUCUUGAGAGCCAGGUCUGCCUUCAGCAGCAUCUCAAUAGCAAGGCUAUGCUCUCUCUCGCUCUCUGAAAAGUGGGAGGGAGAGAGGGAUGGGUGGAGACGGAGACCAAAGGGGCGGAAAGAAAUAAGCAAAUAAGUAAGGAAUGUGUCUGUGGAUAAUGUGUUUAUUUGCUAUUAAUGAAGAUUUGUUUGAAUGCUGCCACACGUUGCUCAUGAAUGGCACCUAUAAAAUGUAGUAAUACACAGCUGUGUACCUUAAAACCUUAGGUAACCUGGCCAGCUGCAUACCACCAUGCAUCCUACUGCUGGCUUGCCUCUGAAACUAACCAGGGUUGGUCCUGGUUGGUCCCUGGAUGGGAGACCAGAUGAUGCAGGUAGUGGUGUUGGAGGGCAAGUAGGAGGCCCUGUUUCCUCUGGUCUAAAAAAAUAAUAUCCCAGGGCAGUGAUUGGGGCUAUGGCCCUGUGUAGGGUGUUGUCUUUGGAUGGGAUGUUAAAUGGGUGUCCUGACUCUAAAGUCACUAAAGAUCCUAUGGCACUUAUUGUAGGGGUGGUAACCCUGGUGUCCUGGCUACAUUCUCGGUUCUCAGUCAACUUACCUGGUAAUUUAAGGGUUACUUUUUUAUCACUUCAAUCAAGAGAGGACAGAU